UACGUAGGGUGCGAGCGUUAAUCGGAUUUACUGGGCGUAAAGCGUGCGCAGGCGGCCCGUUAAGACAGGUGUGAAAUCCCUGGGCUCAACCUAGGAAUUGCGCUUGUGACUGGCGGGCUCGAGUACGGUAGAGGGGGGUGGAAUUCCUGGUGUAGCAGCGAAAUGCGUAGAGAUCAGGAGGAACACCGAUGGCGAAGGCAGCCCCCUGGGCCUGUACUGACGCUCAUGCACGAAAGCGUGGGGAGCAAACAGG
RNAcentral lists this ribosomal RNA (253 nucleotides) under uncultured microorganism. Its description in RNAcentral is "partial 16S ribosomal RNA". It matches the Rfam family "Bacterial small subunit ribosomal RNA", at positions 524 to 776 of the family's 1533-position model. The record is from RNAcentral.